GACGAACGCUGGCGGCGCGCCUAACACAUGCAAGUCGAACGAGCGAGAGAGAGCUUGCUUUCUCAAGCGAGUGGCGAACGGGUGAGUAACGCGUGAGGAACCUGCCUCAAAGAGGGGGACAACAGUUGGAAACGACUGCUAAUACCGCAUAAGCCCACAGGUCGGCAUCGACCAGAGGGAAAAGGAGCAAUCCGCUUUGAGAUGGCCUCGCGUCCGAUUAGCUAGUUGGUGAGGUAACGGCCCACCAAGGCAACGAUCGGUAGCCGGACUGAGAGGUUGAACGGCCACAUUGGGACUGAGACACGGCCCAGACUCCUACGGGAGGCAGCAGUGGGGAAUAUUGCACAAUGGGGGAAACCCUGAUGCAGCGACGCCGCGUGGAGGAAGAAGGUCUUCGGAUUGUAAACUCCUGUUGUUGAGGAAGAUAAUGACGGCACUCAACAAGGAAGUGACGGCUAACUACGUG
This 466-nucleotide ribosomal RNA is filed under the name uncultured bacterium. RNAcentral's name for it is "partial 16S ribosomal RNA". It matches the Rfam family "Bacterial small subunit ribosomal RNA", at positions 28 to 507 of the family's 1533-position model. The record is from RNAcentral.